GUAUGCUUAACACAUGCAAGUCGAACGAUGUGGGGACGUAGCAAUGCUACGUCUGUGCAUAGUGGCGGACGGGUGAGUAACGCGUGAGAAUCUAGCUUCAGGUUCGGGACAACAUUGGGAAACCGAUGCUAAUACCGGAUGUGCCGAGAGGUGAAAGGCUAGCCGCCUGAAGAAGAGCUCGCGUCUGAUUAGCUAGUUGGUGGUGUAAGGGACUACCAAGGCGACGAUCAGUAGCUGGUCUGAGAGGAUGAUCAGCCACACUGGAACUGAGACACGGUCCAGACUCCUACGGGAGGCAGCAGUGGGGGAAUUUUCCCGCAAUGGGGCGAAAGCCUGAACGGAGGCAAUACCGCGUGAGGGGAGGAAGGGCUCUAUGGGUUGUAAACCUCUUAUUCUCAAGGAAAGAAGUUCUGA
Molecule: ribosomal RNA, 414 nt
Filed under: uncultured bacterium
Lineage: Bacteria
Description: bacterial SSU rRNA
Rfam family: Bacterial small subunit ribosomal RNA
Source: RNAcentral